CCUACGGGAGGCAGCAGUGGGGGAUAUUGCACAAUGGGGGAAACCCUGAUGCAGCAACGCCGCGUGAAGGAAGAAGGUCUUCGGAUUGUAAACUUUUGUCCUUAGUGAAGAUAAUGACGGUAGCUAAGGAGGAAGCUCCGGCUAACUACGUGCCAGCAGCCGCGGUAAUACGUAGGGAGCAAGCGUUGUCCGGAUUUACUGGGUGUAAAGGGUGCGUAGGCGGAAGAGCAAGUCAGUAGUGAAAUCCAUGGGCUUAACCCGUGAACUGCUAUUGAAACUGUUUUUCUUGAGUGAAGUAGAGGUAGGCGGAAUUCCCGGUGUAGCGGUGAAAUGCGUAGAGAUCGGGAGGAACACCAGUGGCGAAGGCGGCCUACUGGGCUUUAACUGACGCUGAGGCACGAAAGCAUGGGUAGCAAACAGGAUU
This 424-nucleotide ribosomal RNA is filed under the name uncultured Clostridium sp. Its description in RNAcentral is "bacterial SSU rRNA". It matches the Rfam family "Bacterial small subunit ribosomal RNA", at positions 338 to 779 of the family's 1533-position model. Lineage: Bacteria; Bacillati; Bacillota; Clostridia; Eubacteriales; Clostridiaceae. The record is from RNAcentral.